UGGAAACCUGGUCUGCCUUGCCAACAUGGCGAGCAGCGCCAUUUAUACUCGCCAAAGAUCGUGGUGGUGGCAUGGGUUUAAACUAGUCCGCUCGCUUUGGAAAACGCACCCCGCUCUGAAUGAUUCAAAUCUUUGCGGCUGCCAGCCAGUCCGGAACGAGCAUGUUUCACGUAAGUAUCAUAGUUUUCUGGCUUUGCGAUUUCUCUUCUCGUUACUUUCGUCCUUUUUUUCUCCUUGCAGGAACGAGGCCAGACUGUCGAGAGAGAAAGAAAGAGAGGAAACGAGCCUCCGUGUUUUCUCACGAUGGCUCUGCCUUGACUUUGAGAUAUCAAGUGGGGCACACGCGGAUCAACGACUAAGUAGCGAAAACACGGCCAGCCAUGGCAACAUAGCCGGGAACGCAAUCGUGUCCCUCAUGGUUCUCAAAGUCACAGUCACUGUGGGUCACAUAGUCACAUGAGAUCAUGGCGCCAGUACCGAGUUUUUUUACUAAACUUUGUGCGCGCGGCCAGAAUCCACAAGUUAACUGGCCAAAGGGAUCAUGGGCGAAUUUAAAGCUGGGAAGCAGGCUCGAAAGCAGCAAAGCUCAAGAGUUGAAAACUUUACUCUUUUGAAAUGGAUUCGAUUUGUUUUUUUGUGUGUUUGUUUGAUCGAGAAUCAUCCAAGCCAAAAGUCUUCCAGCAGAGGAAUCGGGUUUAGUGCCUUGUGUUCCGCUACUGUGAUCAGCCAUUUAAUGGAUUGUCUU
This 745-nucleotide long non-coding RNA is filed under the name Selaginella moellendorffii. RNAcentral's name for it is "long non-coding RNA (SMOE_LNC000212)". Lineage: Eukaryota; Viridiplantae; Streptophyta; Lycopodiopsida; Selaginellales; Selaginellaceae. The record is from RNAcentral.